GGCUCAGGACGAACGCUGGCGGCAUGCCUAACACAUGCAAGUCGAACGGGGGUAGCAAUACCCUAGUGGCGAACGGGUGAGUAACACAUAAGCAAUCUGCCCUUCACAGGGGGAUAACAGCGGGAAACUGCUGCUAAUACCGCAUAAGACCACGGUACCGCAUGGUACAGGAGUAAAAACGAAUCAGUGGUGAAGGAUGAGCUUAUGUCCUAUUAGCUAGUUGGUGAGAUAACAGCCCACCAAGGCGACGAUGGGUAGCCGACCUGAGAGGGUGAUCGGCCACACUGGAACUGAGACACGGUCCAGACUCCUACGGGAGGCAGCAGUGGGGAAUAUUGGGCAAUGGAGGAAAAACCUCUUACCCAGCAAUGCCGCGUGAGUGAAGAAGGUCUUCGGAUUGUAAAGCUCUUUGAUUGGGGACGAAGAAAGUGACGGUACCCAAAGAACAAGCCCCGGCUAACUACGUGCCAGCCGCAGC
This 478-nucleotide ribosomal RNA is filed under the name uncultured bacterium. RNAcentral's name for it is "bacterial SSU rRNA". It matches the Rfam family "Bacterial small subunit ribosomal RNA", at positions 21 to 518 of the family's 1533-position model. The record is from RNAcentral.